AUUGAACGCUGGCGGCACGCUUUACACAUGCAAGUCGAACGGUAACAGGUUAAGCUGACGAGUGGCGAACGGGUGAGUAAUGCAUCGGAACGUGCCCGGUCGUGGGGGAUAACGCAGCGAAAGCUGCGCUAAUACCGCAUACGACCUGAGGAUGAAAGCGGGGGACCGUAAGGCCUCGCGCGAUCGGAGCGGCCGAUGUCAGAUUAGGUAGUUGGCGGGGUAAAGACUCACCAAGCCAACGAUCUGUAGCUGGUCUGAGAGGACGACCAGCCACACUGGGACUGAGACACGGCCCAGACUCCUACGGGAGGCAGCAGUGGGGAAUUUUGGACAAUGGGCGAAAGCCUGAUCCAGCCAUUCCGCGUGAGUGAAGAAGGCCUUCGGGUUGUAAAGCUCUUUCGCAGGAGAAGAAAACUUACCCUCUAACAUAGGGUGAGGUUGACGGUAUCUUGAUAAGAAGCACCGGCUAACUACGUGCCAGCAGCCGCCGUAA
RNAcentral lists this ribosomal RNA (493 nucleotides) under uncultured bacterium. Its description in RNAcentral is "partial 16S ribosomal RNA". It matches the Rfam family "Bacterial small subunit ribosomal RNA", at positions 30 to 523 of the family's 1533-position model. The record is from RNAcentral.